ACUCCUACGGGAGGCAGCAGUGGGGAAGUCUUGGACAAUGGGCGCAAGCCUGAUCCAGCCAUGCCGCGUGAGUGAUGAAGGCCCGUAGGGUCGUAAAGCUCUUUCGCCAGGGAUGAUAAUGACAGUACCUGGUAAACGAAACCCGGCUAACUCCGUGCCAGCAGCCGCGGUAAUACGGAGGGGUUAGCGUUGUUCGGAAUUACUGGGCGUAAAGCGCGCGUAGGCGGACUGGAAAGUUGGGGUGAAUCCGGGGCUCAACCCGGAACUGCCUCCAAAACUCCCAGUCUUGAGUUCGAGAGAGGUGAGUGGAAUUCCGAGUGUAGAGGUGAAAUUCGUAGAUAUUCGGAGGAACACCAGUGGCGAAGGCGGCUCACUGGCUCGAUACUGACGCUGAGGUGCGAAAGUGUGGGAGCAAACAGGAUUAGAUACCCUGGUAGGAUAGCG
This 444-nucleotide ribosomal RNA is filed under the name uncultured bacterium. RNAcentral describes it as "bacterial SSU rRNA". It matches the Rfam family "Bacterial small subunit ribosomal RNA", at positions 335 to 799 of the family's 1533-position model. The record is from RNAcentral.